RNAcentral lists this non-coding RNA (93 nucleotides) under Xylona heveae TC161. The record is from Rfam by way of RNAcentral. Lineage: Eukaryota; Fungi; Ascomycota; Xylonomycetes; Xylonales; Xylonaceae.
UGCGAAUAUACAGGUAGUUCCCUGGAUGGGUGAAGGGUCUAAACAGAUAUGAACGGCGGGACUUCUCUCGAGUGGAGUCAAAGCUUAGUGCUU